GGGAUUGCCUCAGUAACGGCGAGUGAAGCGGCAACAGCUCAAAUUUGAAAUCUGGCCCCUUUUCGGGGUCCGAGUUGUAAUUUGUAGAGAGUGUUUCGGGCGAGACCACGGUCUAAGUCCAUUGGAACAUGGCGUCAUAGAGGGUGAGAAUCCCGUCUGCGACCGUGGCUCGAGCCCAUGUGAAGCCUCUUCGACGAGUCGAGUUGUUUGGGAAUGCAGCUCAAAAUGGGUGGUAAAUUUCAUCUAAAGCUAAAUACUGGCUGGAGACCGAUAGCGCACAAGUAGAGUGAUCGAAAGAUGAAAAGCACUUUGGAAAGAGAGUUAAACAGUACGUGAAAUUGUUGAAAGGGAAGCGCUUGCAACCAGACCUGUCCGUAGGUGAUCAGCCGCUGUUCUCAGCGGUGCACUCGCUCUGCGAUCAGGCUAGCAUCGGUUUCGGCGACCGGAUAAAGGCCUUGGGAAUGUAGCUUCCUUUCGGGGGAGUCUUAUAGCCUUCGGUGCAAUGCGGCCAGCCGGGACCGAGGACCGCGCUUCGGCUAGGAUGCUGGCGUAAUGGUUGUAA
RNAcentral lists this ribosomal RNA (562 nucleotides) under Montanelia disjuncta. RNAcentral's name for it is "eukaryotic LSU rRNA". It matches the Rfam family "Eukaryotic large subunit ribosomal RNA", at positions 71 to 643 of the family's 3401-position model. Lineage: Eukaryota; Fungi; Ascomycota; Lecanoromycetes; Lecanorales; Parmeliaceae. The record is from RNAcentral.